UGAAUACGAGACGCUAAGGCGUCGAAGUAGUGUAUGUCAUGCUUCCAAGAAAAGCUUGCACUGUCAUAGAUAAAAAACGCCUGUACCAUAACCGACACAGGUGGGUAGGUAGAGUAUACUAAGGGGCGCGAGAUAACUCUCUCUAAGGAACUCGGCAAAAUAACUCCGUAACUUCGGGAGAAGGAGUGCCUUAUUCGUAAGGUUGCAAUAACAAGAUCCAAGCAACUGUUUAUCAAAAACACAGGUCUCCGCUAAGUCGUAAGACGAUGUAUGGGGGCUGACGCCUGCCCAGUGCCAGAAGGUUAAAGAAGUCGGUUAGCAAUUGCGAAGCUGGUAACUGAAGCCCUGGUGAACGGCGGCCGUAACAAUAACGGUCCUAAGGUAGCGAAAUUUCUUGUCGGGUAAGUUUUGACCCGCACGAAAGGCGUAAUGAUCUGGAUACUGUCUCGGAGAGGGGCUCGGUGAAAUAGACUUGUCUGUGAAGAUGCGGACUACCUGCAUUAGGACAGAAAGACCCUAUGAAGCUUUACUGUAACUUGAAAUUGAAAUUGGACUUUAUUUGUGCAGUGUAGGUGGGAGGCGUUGAUUAUAAUCUUGCGGGAUUAUUGGAGCCAUCAGUGAGAUACCACCCUUGUAAUGUUAGAUUUCUAACUUUGAAUCAUUAUUUGGUCAAAGAACAGUUUCAGGCGGGCAGUUUGACUGGGGCGGUCGCCUCCUAAAUGGUAACGGAGGCGUACAAAGGUUUCCUCUGAACGGUUAGAAAUCGUAUUUAGAGUGUAAAGGUAUAAGGAAGUUUGAUUGUGAGACCUACAAGUCGAGCAGGGACGAAAGUCGGUCUUAGUGAUCUGACGGUACUGAGUGGAAAGGCCGUCACUCAACGGAUAAAAGUUACACUAGGAUAACAGGCUGAUCCCCCCCAAGAGUUUACAUCGACGGGGAGGUUUGGCACCUCGAUGUCGGCUCAUCGCAUCCUGGGGCGGUAGUACGUCCCAAGGGUUGGGCUGUUCGCCCAUGAAAGCGGUACGCGAGCUGGGUUCAGAACGUCGUGAGACAGUUCGGUCCAUAUCCGGUGUAGGCGUUAGAAUAUUGAGAGGAGCCUUCUUUAGUACGAGAGGACCGAGAAGGACAUACCUCUGGUGUACCAAUUAUCGUGCCAACGGUAAACGCUGGGUAGCUAUGUAUGGAGUGGAUAACCGCUGAAAGCAUCUAAGUGGGAAGCCCACCUCAAGAUAAGUAUUCUCAUCACGUAAGUGAGUAAGGUCACGGUAAGACUAACCGUUUGAUAGGCAUUAAGUGUAAGUACAGUAAUGUAUGUGCUGAGAUGUCCUAAUAGACCGAGGAC
RNAcentral lists this ribosomal RNA (1342 nucleotides) under metagenome. Its description in RNAcentral is "bacterial LSU rRNA". It matches the Rfam family "Bacterial large subunit ribosomal RNA", at positions 1564 to 2925 of the family's 2925-position model. The record is from RNAcentral.